RNAcentral lists this ribosomal RNA (468 nucleotides) under uncultured bacterium. Its description in RNAcentral is "partial 16S ribosomal RNA". It matches the Rfam family "Bacterial small subunit ribosomal RNA", at positions 28 to 507 of the family's 1533-position model. The record is from RNAcentral.
GACGAACGCUGGCGGCGUGCUUAACACAUGCAAGUCGAACGGUAAGGCCCUGUUCUUGUGGCGUGCUCGAGUGGCGAAAGGGUGAGUAACACGCGAGUGACCUGCCCUUUACUUUGGGAUACCUCCAGGGAACACGGACUAUUAUCGCACAUGAACACCUUCUGCAUGGUGUUGGUUGUUGAAUGUCGCCGUUUGGGGACGCACUCGCGGCUCAUCAGCUUGUUGGUGGGGUGGUGGCUUAACAAGGCUUUGACGGGUAGCCGGCCUGGGAGGGUGACCGGCCACAUUGGGACUGAGAUACGGCCCAGACUCCUACGGGAGGCAGCAGUGGGAAAUAGUGCACAAUGGGCGGAAGCCUGAUGCAGCAACGCCGGGUGCGAGAUGACGGCCGUCGGGGUGUAAACCGCUUGCGCCUGUGAAGAAGCGUGAGUGACGGUAAUGGGUAAAGAAGCAACGGCUAACUACGUG